Caenorhabditis elegans is the source of this 21-nucleotide non-coding RNA. The record is from Ensembl. NCBI's taxonomy places the organism in Eukaryota, Metazoa, Nematoda, Chromadorea, Rhabditida, Rhabditidae.
UGGUUUGAGUCGAUUUUAUUA